Molecule: transfer RNA, 75 nt
Filed under: Mariprofundaceae bacterium
Lineage: Bacteria; Pseudomonadati; Pseudomonadota; Candidatius Mariprofundia; Mariprofundales; Mariprofundaceae
Description: tRNA-Thr
Rfam family: tRNA
About the family: Transfer RNA (tRNA) molecules are approximately 80 nucleotides in length. Their secondary structure includes four short double-helical elements and three loops (D, anti-codon, and T loops).
Source: RNAcentral
GCCCAGGUAGCUCAGUGGUAGAGCACAUCCUUGGUAAGGAUGAGGUCGCGGGUCCAAUUCCCGCUCUGGGCUCCA